GACGAACGCUGGCGGCGUGCUUAACACAUGCAAGUCGAACGGAAAGGCCCUGCGUUUGUUGGGUGCUCGAGUGGCGAACGGGUGAGUAACACGUGAGUAACCUGCCCUUGACUUUGGGAUAACUUCAGGAAACUGGGGCGAAUACCGGAUAGGAGCUCCUGCUGCAUGUUGGGGGUUGGAAAGUUUCGGCGGUUGGGGAUGGACUCGCGGCUUAUCAGCUUGUUGGUGGGGUAGUGGCUUACCAAGGCUUUGACGGGUAGCCGGCCUGAGAGGGUGACCGGCCACAUUGGGACUGAGAUACGGCCCAGACUCCUACGGGAGGCAGCAGUGGGGAAUAUUGCACAAUGGGCGGAAGCCUGAUGCAGCAACGCCGCGUGCGGGAUGACGGCCUUCGGGUUGUAAACCGCUUUCGCCUGUGACGAAGCGUGAGUGACGGUAAUGGGUAAAGAAGCACCGGCUAACUACGUG
Molecule: ribosomal RNA, 468 nt
Filed under: uncultured bacterium
Lineage: Bacteria
Description: partial 16S ribosomal RNA
Rfam family: Bacterial small subunit ribosomal RNA
Source: RNAcentral